RNAcentral lists this long non-coding RNA (1292 nucleotides) under Zalophus californianus (California sea lion). Its description in RNAcentral is "lncRNA (ENSZCAG00015024077.1)". The record is from RNAcentral. Lineage: Eukaryota; Metazoa; Chordata; Mammalia; Carnivora; Otariidae.
GAGAGGAUGCGAGGGAUUGGGUGAGAAUGACAAAGAUGUGAAUUCAUCAGUGAACAUGGAAAAAACAGUAGUUGAAACAUUAAUUCUCAAUUUCUGUAACAGCAGAUUGAUAGAUGAAGCAUAAAACAAGACCAGAUGCUGUGGUUUCCAGGAUGCACUUGGCUUCCCAUGCUUUAUAACCUGGAGCAUUUAUUGCUGCUCCAUUCCUACAGAUUUCACCUGACUAGGGGAGAAAAAGGAAGGAAAGACAUGGUUCAAAGACAGGAGAUGUGGAAUCAAGCCAUUUUACUGACCGUACGUAUAUUAUUGCCGUGUUGUGAUAGGUCCAUUCCUGAUGUGUCCACCAGAGACCAGUCUCAUCAGGGUGAGUCUCGGUACCCAUAGGAUUCAAGAACAUGGACACUGCAGUCCAACAGACCUGGGUUUGAAUGCAUGAUCUGUUCUUUUUUACUAGCUCUUUCACUUUGGGCCAUUUAUUAAGCUCACUAAGCCGCAACUUCCCCAUUUUUAUGUGGGGACAGAACAGUGUGCAUGCCAUGGAGUUGCAUUGAAAAUUAAAUGAGACAGUAUCAGGAAAGUGCUGAGCUCUAUGCCUGGCAACUAGCAAGUACUCAAUAAACAUGCCAUUGUAAUACUGAUAUUUUUAUUAUACUGUGAAAUGAGGUUCUCUCAUUUCCAGAAGUCUCUAAGGACAAAGAUUCCUUCAUAUCUCCAUAGUAUUUGCAUGAAGACUUCACCUCCCAAAGUUUUAACCAUAGCACCUCGCCUGGGUUCUCUGACUGGUGAAGGGCCACGCCUCUCUCUUUGCCUUCUUGAUUCUCUCAUUCUCACUCUCAACACACCUCUCUGGCCGACUCUUCCUGAUGAGUAGUCAAGAAACCAUUUUUGAUAGUUAUAUAAGACCUAUAAGAUUCCAUCCUUAUGGUCACCAACAAUUAAAUUUAAAAUAUCGAUCAAUCCAUGAAAAUAGCUAUGUGGAUAUUUCUCAGUUCACUGAAGACCAUUAUUGAUAUUGGCUGUUGUUCCCAUCUGUCUAAUAACAGCCAUUUAUUGAGCUUACAGUUCUGGCUCUCAUGGAGUUCUAAAGACUAAAACAUCUUAUAAAAAUGCAAGUCCUCACAGGGCUAUUGAUUUUUUUUAAAGCUAAAGGUUUAUCCUAUAUUUCAUCCCCAUUUAUCAUUUGUUUAGGGAAAACUUCUUCCCUUCGAUUGUUGAGUGGGUUUUGCACAAGAAAAAGAAAUUAGUUCAUUGGGUAAAGGUGGGAUGCUGAGCCAGACUGGAGAUUUUAGAAG